AACGAACGCUGGCGGCGUGCUUAACACAUGCAAGUCGCGCGAGAAAAUGGGGGCAACCCCAUGAGUACAGCGGCGCACGGGUGAGUAAUACGUAGGUAAUCUACCUUCAGGACCGGGAUAACCUUCCGAAAGGAGGGCUAAUACUGGAUAAGACCACGGAGCUUAGGCUCUGCGGUUAAAGGUGGCCUCUGCUCGCAAGCUACCACCAAAAGAUGAGCCUGCGCACCAUUAGCUAGUUGGCGAGGUAACGGCUCACCAAGGCGAAGAUGGUUAGCUGAUCUGAGAGGAUGAUCAGCCACACUGGGACUGAGACACGGCCCAGACUCCUACGGGAGGCAGCAGUGGGGAAUCUUGGACAAUAGGGGAAACCCUGAUCCAGCGACGCCGCGUGGGUGAUGAAGGCC
RNAcentral lists this ribosomal RNA (404 nucleotides) under uncultured bacterium. Its description in RNAcentral is "bacterial SSU rRNA". It matches the Rfam family "Bacterial small subunit ribosomal RNA", at positions 29 to 416 of the family's 1533-position model. The record is from RNAcentral.